Long non-coding RNA from Rosa chinensis, 818 nucleotides. RefSeq lists it as uncharacterized. Lineage: Eukaryota; Viridiplantae; Streptophyta; Magnoliopsida; Rosales; Rosaceae. The transcript is spliced from 5 exons. The record is from RefSeq and is a predicted model, not a curated record.
AUUAGGACUACAUUCAUAUGUCGUCUGAGUAAACGGGAAACUGACAGCUAAUUUGCUAAUCUAAAGUAUUCGAUCCCUCCCUUGGCUAAAAAAGAAAAACUCGGGCUCCUUUUGCUAGGACCUUUCCCUUAGCUGAAAGAAAAAAAGAACCAACCCUAGAUCUAAAAACUCGGGCUCGUUUUGCCGCCCCUGACUCUCAGCCAAUCUCUCCCUCGCACGCUCGAUCUCACUCUCAUGAACCUCAGUCCCUCAAUCCACCCUCAAUCCCUUUCACCCUCUCAAGCUCACACACACUCUCAUCCUCCUGCGAUUCCGGCAAAGCAAGUUUGGGUAUGGAAGUUUUGGGUAUAGAAGUUUGGGUAAACAAAGCAUAGACGUCCUCAAGUUUGGUUCGAUUUCUGGUUCGAUUUCGAAUUCUUCAAGCUUGAGACCUGAUAAACAAGAACCCAUCUCUAACACAAGACACAGUUCCACAAGUAAUAGAGUAGACAAAAGGCCAAAUCCAUACAUUCCAGAUCAAAAUCAAUGAAGCAAAUGGCUCCAUAGUCAAAGGCAUCUAUCUAGACGUGGAAACCUUUACGCCACAAACAGGAAAUGAAACAACAACUUUCACACUAGCCCAUCCUCUUCCUGACAAAAAAGAGUCCCUGAUAAACAAAACAGUUCGCAGAAACUGCCUUACAGCACAGCUCUCUUCUUUCGAUAUUGCAUUGCUAUUGUUGUUGCUGUAGUGAAAGGUUGGAGUACUGGGAAUGGUGAUUAGCUAGGCUGUGACUUAAGCAAAUUAAGAUGGAAAAAGGAUGGAUGCAUGCUGAUAG